CCUUUGACGUUAGCGGCGGACGGGUGAGUAACAACGUGGGUAACCUACCUAUAAGACUGGGAUAACUUCGGGAAACCGGAGCUAAUACCGGAUAAUAUUUCGAACCGCAUGGUUCGAUAGUGAAAGAUGGUUUUGCUAUCACUUAUAGAUGGACCCGCGCCGUAUUAGCUAGUUGGUAAGGUAACGGCUUACCAAGGCGACGAUACGUAGCCGACCUGAGAGGGUGAUCGGCCACACUGGAACUGAGACACGGUCCAGACUCCUACGGGAGGCAGCAGCC
Molecule: ribosomal RNA, 280 nt
Filed under: uncultured Staphylococcus sp.
Lineage: Bacteria; Bacillati; Bacillota; Bacilli; Caryophanales; Staphylococcaceae
Description: partial 16S ribosomal RNA
Rfam family: Bacterial small subunit ribosomal RNA
Source: RNAcentral